RNAcentral lists this unclassified non-coding RNA (314 nucleotides) under uncultured fungus. RNAcentral describes it as "partial contains small subunit ribosomal RNA, internal transcribed spacer 1, and 5.8S ribosomal RNA". The stretch from base 1 to 73 matches the Rfam family "Eukaryotic small subunit ribosomal RNA", at positions 1759 to 1831 of the family's 1831-position model. The record is from RNAcentral. Lineage: Eukaryota; Fungi.
CCAAACUUGGUCAUUUAGAGGAAGUAAAAGUCGUAACAAGGUUUCCGUAGGUGAACCUGCGGAAGGAUCAUUACUGAGUUAGGGUCUCUAUUCGAGCCCGACCUCCAACCCUUUGCUUACUUGACCUUUUUGUUGCUUCGGCAGGCCCGCCCCGUAAAACGGGCCGCCGGGGGAGGUUAUUCACCCCUGGCCAGCGCCUGUCGACGGCCCAACUUUAAACUCUUGUUAAAAUGUGUCGUCUGAGUUAACACAAAAAAUAAACAAAAACUUUCAACAACGGAUCUCUUGGUUCUGGCAUCGAUGAAGAACGCAGC